GGCAGCAUCUCUUUGCACUGAGUGAGUGAGUGAGUGAGUGAGUGAGAGUGCCAAAGGUGCUUUAACUGGGUCCGGGCCGGGCCUGGCCAGGGAUGCGAUGCGAUGGGAUGGCCAUUCACAGUUGAAAAUUCAUGUUUCUCCAAAAUGUCUUGGCAACAACAAAGGCGGGUGGGUCCUCAAGACCUAGCAACUCUGAUUGGCUUCAAUUGGGAAAGCCAGCCGCCGCCAAAAAGUAGGUCAAAGUGUCACAAUGGGUUGACAAAAAGUAGGUCACACAAUUGAUGGAAAGGAAGGCCACAACUAUUUGCUUGUAAGAUUUUUCUUUUUGUGCUCUAGAAUUCUUAUAGUGGACGACUGGAACGACGUCAGAACGACGUACGUGUAGAAGGCCUUUGUUCUUUCUUCCCAUUUGAUGGAUAUGCCUCCGUCAGAGUCGGACAGGCCCUGUAUGCUGCAACAACGGGUUCAUCCCAACCGCUAAUAAGCCGAAGCAACGACUAUGGUAAUCGGGUUGAAUUUCCUUCUGAAUGGUUGAGAGAUACUAUUAACUUUGUCCACAUGGACUUUUUGAACGAGCAGGAAAUGCUUCGAGUCUAUUUAGUAUUCUCUGGUGUUGUGAGGGAUGGUAGUGCAGUUCGAGUAUCGCAGCUGACUCGUGUCCCCAAGGUAACAACUUGCAAAAUCCAAACUGCUUUACAAUCGAGUGCAGGUAUGCAUGCAUCCAUCGUAUGGAUGGCUUUAGGACCAUAGCAG
This is a long non-coding RNA of Syngnathus acus (greater pipefish), 753 nucleotides long. RefSeq lists it as uncharacterized. The record is from RefSeq and is a predicted model, not a curated record. The transcript is spliced from 3 exons. NCBI's taxonomy places the organism in Eukaryota, Metazoa, Chordata, Actinopteri, Syngnathiformes, Syngnathidae.